Long non-coding RNA from Mus musculus (house mouse), 603 nucleotides. RefSeq annotates it as predicted gene 5129. The transcript has a single exon. Lineage: Eukaryota; Metazoa; Chordata; Mammalia; Rodentia; Muridae. The record is from RefSeq and is marked validated.
UUCCGCCCGGCCCUGAAGCUAACGUGCGCAGCAGCCUCCGUGCGCGUCGGACUUGAUAGCGCUGGUCUAGCGUUCCGGAAGAUUCUCGGAGCUGAGGACGGUGGGAUUCUGGAGGGUUUACAUAGGCGAAGGUGGCUGAAUAGGGCGGGAAGCGUCCCCUUGCGCAAGCUCUGUGCCUGGAGGGCUCUAAAGCCUGAGGCGACUGUAGCCGAACCAAGGAGCCUGCGUUUGCCCGGAAGCAGGCUGGGAGGAAGGACGCUCACAGCCUCUGACACAGUGGAUUCGGAGAUAAGGACCUGAUAGCGUAGUAUGACUCACACUCCUAUGGACUUGGAGAAUUGUGGUCCCGAGGUUCGGCCGACCCAACAAGCAGGCCCGACUUAGAGUGAACCGUGAGAGGCCUCAUCAUUACCAACUCGCAGUGCUGAAUCCAGGGUCUAGAUUUCAAACACGGUUAUUUUAAAGAUGUAUUUACUUUUUGUAUGUGAAUGUACUGUCUUCGGACACACCCGAGAAGGACAUCAGAUCCCACAAUAAGCUCCUGUCUCAAUAAAUCAAUAAGCUCCUGUAUAAAUAAAUAGACAUUUAAAUCCUCACCCCACC